This 433-nucleotide ribosomal RNA is filed under the name uncultured bacterium. RNAcentral describes it as "bacterial SSU rRNA". It matches the Rfam family "Bacterial small subunit ribosomal RNA", at positions 954 to 1382 of the family's 1533-position model. The record is from RNAcentral.
GCAGAACGCGAAGAACCUUACCAAGGCUUGACAUAUACGAGAACGGGCCAGAAAUGGUCAACUCUUUGGACACUCGUAAACAGGUGGUGCAUGGUUGUCGUCAGCUCGUGUCGUGAGAUGUUGGGUUAAGUCCCGCAACGAGCGCAACCCUCGUUCUAUGUUGCCAGCACGUAAUGGUGGGAACUCAUGGGAUACUGCCGGGGUCGAACUCGGAGGAAGGUGGGGAUGGACGUCAAGUCAUCAUGCCCCUUAUCGUCUUGGGCUUUCGACGCAUGCUACAAUGGCCGGUACAAAGGGCUGCAAUACCGCAAGGUGAGCGAAUCCCAAAAAGCCGGUACCAGUUCGGAUUGAGGUCUGCAACUCGACCUCAUGAAGUCGGAGUCGCUAGUAAUCGCAGAUCAGCAACGCUGCGGUGAAUACGUUCCCGGGUCUU